AAAAAAUCAUGCUAAUUGUGUUUCUCAUAUCCUCAGAUUAAGCUGUAUUAUUUGUGUGUGUGUAUGUGUUGCUGACUCUUGGUUUCACAGAUAAAAGUGGUACCUUUUUUGCUUUUCUGUUUUGUUUCAUUUUAUUUGUUUUCGGGGUUUUUUUGUUUGUUUUUAAAGAGCUAGUCUUGAGUACGUGAGUCUGUUUCUGUCUUACUCAGGCUUGGGACCUCUGAGAAGUGGGGCUUGAGUUUGCCAUUUUUCAGGCCUUCUCUGCCGUGCUGGGAAGAGCAGCCAGAGAUACAGAGCGUCAUCCCUGUGGGGCUAAGUACCCUCCUGCUGCCUUGCUCUGUGCACUUUAGUUGACGACUGAAUUUGAUUAGUAACCUAUAAAAGGUCUACUGAUCUCUGUCAUUGCUCCACUGGAACGUCCUUAAUGUGAAACACAUGCCCCGCCCUGUCCAGCCUGAGCCCGCUGAAGCCGAAGCCAGGUGGGCCCAGUAAAUGCAAGCGCUGGAUUCUGUGGGCAACAGUGGAAUCUCUUCAAAAGAAGAAUUAUAUUUGAAAACACAAAGGUCUCUAGGUUUCAUGUUUCAUCAGAGAACAUAGUGGUUUCUACUACCCACCCUAAGCCUGUGUUGGUGAGCAGUGGAGCCCUGUCUUCAAACAAAAGCCUGUGCAGAGUCCCUGUGAGAUGCUGAUGAAUGAAGAGCCACUCUAGUGGAAGCGGGAAGCCUUCCUACCUCACUGCCUGGGAACCAGCAUUUGCCUCCCCCAACUAGAGAACGCGGUUGCUUCUCUAUCUACUGACACCUGGGCUUUCAAGAGAUUUCCAUCCCAGUUUAAUUUAUAGGAGAAUACAGAACAAUCCAUCAUCCUUUAGUUUCAAGAUAUUGGUAGAUUAUAUAGAUAUCAAAACAGUAACUUUUAUUUUGAAGCAGUGUACUUUUUAAAGUUAAUUUAACAAAUCUUUAUGUCUUCUCUAAGCCACGAUGUUGAAUAUGAUGGCAAAUGAAACUGGCAGGAUCUCUGCCUGCUUAAUAAGUGAAUAAGCAAAUAAGUUGUCA
Molecule: long non-coding RNA, 1055 nt
Filed under: Equus asinus (donkey)
Lineage: Eukaryota; Metazoa; Chordata; Mammalia; Perissodactyla; Equidae
Description: lncRNA (ENSEASG00005032499.1)
Source: RNAcentral